GGCGGCGUGGAUUUAGGCAUGCAAGUCGAACGGUAUGGACCUUUCGGGGUUCAGAGAGUGGCGAACGGGUGAGUAACACGUAGGUAAUCUACCUCAAGACGGGGACAACCCGGGAAACUUGGGCUAAUACCGGAUGUGUGUAGUGGCUAUUUUCUGAUUAUCAUUAUUUACGUAAGUGAGUAAUAAUUAAGAAGGGAAAGUGGUUAUUACAUAAAAGGUGGCGUAAGCUGCCGCUUGGGGAUGAGCCUGCGUCCUAUUAGUUAGUUGGUGAGGUAACGGCUUACCAAGGCGAUGAUAGGUAGGCGGCCUUAACGGGUGGUCGCCCACACUGGGAUUGAGAUACGGCCCAGACUCCUACGGGAGGCAGCAGUCGAGAAUAGUCUACAAUGGACGGAAGUCUGAUAGUGCGACGCCGCGUGAACGAAGAAUCCCUUCGGGGUGUAAAGUUCUUUUAUACGUGAGCAGUGUCCUUUAUAUUAAUAGUAUAAGGGGAGAGAUAUUAGCGUAUGAAUAAGCAACGGCUAACUCCGUG
RNAcentral lists this ribosomal RNA (532 nucleotides) under uncultured bacterium. Its description in RNAcentral is "bacterial SSU rRNA". It matches the Rfam family "Bacterial small subunit ribosomal RNA", at positions 38 to 507 of the family's 1533-position model. The record is from RNAcentral.